AGAGUUUGAUCCUGGCUCAGAAUCAACGCUGGCGGCGUGCCUAACACAUGCAAGUCGAACGAGAAAGUCUCCGCAAGGGGAUGAGUAAAGUGGCGCACGGGUGAGUAACACGUAGCUAACCUACCUUCGAGUGGGGGAUAACCUGGGGAAACUCGGGCUAAUACCGCAUAACGUCCUGGCGGCGCGAGUCGCUGGGAUCAAAGACCCGCAAGGGUCGCUCGUCGAGGGGGCUGCGGCCGAUUAGCUAGUUGGUGAGGUAACGGCCCACCAAGGCGAUGAUCGGUAGCCGGCCUGAGAGGGCGCACGGCCACACUGGCACUGAAACACGGGCCAGACUCCUACGGGAGGCAGCAGUGGGGAAUUUUGCACAAUGCCCGAAAGGGUGAUGCAGCAACGCCGCGUGAGGGAUGAAGGUCUUCGGAUCGUAAACCUCUUUCGACCGAGAAAAACGGGCGGGUGAAGAGUCCGCUCUGAUGGUACCGGUGGAAGAAGCCCCGGCCAACUACGUGCCAGCAGCCGCGGUAAUACGUAGGGGGCGAGCGUUGUUCGGAAUUACUGGGCGUAAAGGGCGUGUAGGCGGUGCGGUAAGUCGGGCGUGAAAUCCCCGGGCUUAACUCGGGGCGGUCGUUCGAAACUGCCGUGCUAGAGUGCAGGAGAGGGAAGUGGAAUUCCC
RNAcentral lists this ribosomal RNA (673 nucleotides) under uncultured soil bacterium. RNAcentral's name for it is "bacterial SSU rRNA". It matches the Rfam family "Bacterial small subunit ribosomal RNA", at positions 8 to 671 of the family's 1533-position model. The record is from RNAcentral.